Long non-coding RNA from Austrofundulus limnaeus, 1495 nucleotides. RefSeq lists it as uncharacterized. The record is from RefSeq and is a predicted model, not a curated record. The transcript has 3 exons. NCBI's taxonomy places the organism in Eukaryota, Metazoa, Chordata, Actinopteri, Cyprinodontiformes, Rivulidae.
GCUGACUUCCUGUUCAGGUGUUUCUAAUCACAAUCAUCCUGAGCCUAACCCAGGCACAUGGAACAGUUCAAGGCUGUAGACUGGGGAAAAAAACAAAACUGUCUCAGUUUUGUUUUUAUUAAAGGACACGAGGUUCAGGACAUCUCUGGCACAAUAAAUUAGUUUGAGGAGAGCUGGCGUUCAUUCAUCUCAGGAAGUUGAAGAAAUGGAGCUAAUAAAAAUAAUAAACAUCGGCGCUGGCAUUUUGCAAACCGCCAUAGAAGUCGGCGAUGCCAUGAAUAAAUCAUCCCCACAUCGACAAUGCAUCAUUCAUGUAGUAAAUCUGACAAAAUGUUACGUUCUUCAGAACCCUGGGUUGUACGUUUGCAGGGGUCGCUGCAUUGACCCUUUACCUCCCAGCAUGUCUCCAUCCUCGUCUGGCAGCGCCGCUUUUGCCAAAGCGCCCCACACAGGGCGAGGAUUCUUCGGCGUCUUCAAAUACGAUCUCCUCGAUCGUUCCACGCAGAGGGCCACCGAGCAAAUGGCUGUUUCGUUCAGGGUGCCUUAUAAUAUAAAUCUGAAGUCAAAUGAGUACGCAGUGGGACUCUUUGACGUCGGCAGAGAGUGCAACAGCAAUCUGUAUGCUGAGAUGUCGAAGAAAAAUGGUUCUACAUUCGUGAAGGGACAAGCAAAAGGCCCCUCUCUGACCCACAUGGSUCAAAAUGUUACCAUCAGGGCCACGAUGUCAGAUUGCAGCUCUCCUGUGAUAAAGGUGCAAGUGAGCAAUAAUUAUUAAAUAUUGAUGGGGGAGGGAUUCUCCUAUCAAUGUUAUUUUAAGGAAAAUUUGUUUAGCUGGUUAUGACCCUGCAGGUGCUAGGAGAUAUUGCACGUGUUGCCAAAUUGGAGAAAAAAAACGAGCUUGGAAAGCCACCAAGUGCUAAUUUGACACAAAAAUAUUUGUUAGGGUCAGUUGGAGGAAGUGAACCCAAUGAAACACUCCUGUCACCUUGGUUUGAAUUUUAUCACUUGARCUGUAUAAAGUUACAAAACAAGUAUAGGUUUUAAAUGAUAAUGUUAAAACGCACAUUUUUUGUUGUUUUGCAUGCACUUGUCCUCACAACCACUUCAUGUUGAGGAUUGUUUCCUACUGACAUAUGGGUUGUUUUAUGUGCUUAGCUUGGACUGACCAAAGCUGCCUUUUUUAACUUUUAAUUUUUAUUUUGCUUUUUAUAGUCCUAUUCACUGUUGCCUGUAAAAUCAUUUGAACAAAAAAAGGCAAAUGAAACAUGCAAAAAGCUUGUUCUAGGUCAGAAAUAAAUGAACUUUUCACUACUAUAUUAUGCAGUCAAUCACAUUUCUCUUCAUUCUAAUGUAAAAGCAACAUCAUAGUGCCAAGACAGUAUUUGUGUGUGUGUGUGUGUGUGUGUUUGAUCAGCACAAAACGUAAGGGGAAUUUGUUGAUGCUUGUUAUACGUAUUUUGUCGUAAUGCUUCUUGGUAAUAAAUCUUAAACUGUU